RNAcentral lists this non-coding RNA (137 nucleotides) under uncultured Paenibacillus sp. RNAcentral's name for it is "FMN riboswitch (RFN element)". It matches the Rfam family "FMN riboswitch aptamer (RFN element)". Rfam says of the family: The RFN element is a highly conserved domain that is found frequently in the 5'-untranslated regions of prokaryotic mRNAs that encode for flavin mononucleotide (FMN) biosynthesis and transport proteins. This element is a metabolite-dependent riboswitch that directly binds FMN in the absence of proteins. In Bacillus subtilis, the riboswitch most likely controls gene expression by causing premature transcription termination within the 5' untranslated region of the ribDEAHT operon and precluding access to the ribosome-binding site of ypaA mRNA. Lineage: Bacteria; Bacillati; Bacillota; Bacilli; Caryophanales; Paenibacillaceae. The record is from RNAcentral.
AUCUUCGGGGUAGGGUGAAAUUCCCAACCGGCGGUGACGCUUUUAAGCGAAGCCCGCGACUCAAUUUUCUUACUAUAGAAGAUUGACUGACUUGGUGUAAUUCCAAGGCCGACGGUACAGUCCGGAUGAGAGAAGAU